UACGUAGGGGGCUAGCGUUAUCCGGAAUUACUGGGCGUAAAGGGUGCGUAGGCGGUCUUUCAAGCCAGAAGUGAAAGGCUACGGCUCAACCGUAGUAAGCUUUUGGAACUGUAGAUCUGGAGUGCCGGAGGGGCAAGCGGAAUUCCUGGUGUAGCGGUGAAAUGCGUAGAUAUCAGGAGGAACACCGGCGGCGGAGGCGGCUUGCUGGACGGCAACUGACAUUGAGGCUCGAAAGCGUGGGGAGCAAACAGGAUUAGAUACCCUGGUAGUCCCUGA
This 276-nucleotide ribosomal RNA is filed under the name uncultured prokaryote. Its description in RNAcentral is "partial 16S ribosomal RNA". It matches the Rfam family "Bacterial small subunit ribosomal RNA", at positions 524 to 800 of the family's 1533-position model. The record is from RNAcentral.